RNAcentral lists this ribosomal RNA (1590 nucleotides) under metagenome. RNAcentral's name for it is "bacterial LSU rRNA". It matches the Rfam family "Bacterial large subunit ribosomal RNA", at positions 1332 to 2912 of the family's 2925-position model. The record is from RNAcentral.
CUCCACCGAAUGCCUAAGGUUUCCUGAGGAAGGCUCGUCCGCUCAGGGUUAGUCGGGACCUAAGCCGAGGCCGAAAGGCGUAGGCGAUGGACAACAGGUUGAUAUUCCUGUACCACCUCCUCACCAUUUGAGCAAUGGGGGGACGCAGGAGGAUAGGGUAAGCGCGGUAUUGGAUAUCCGCGUCCAAGCAGUUAGGCUGGGAAAUAGGCAAAUCCGUUUCCCAUAAGGCUGAGCCGUGAUGGCGAGCGAGAUAUAGUAGCGAAGUUCCUGAUUCCACACUGCCAAGAAAAGCCUCUAGCGAGGUGAGAGGUGCCCGUACCGCAAACCGACACAGGUAGGCGAGGAGAGAAUCCUAAGGUGAUCGAGAGAACUCUCGUUAAGGAACUCGGCAAAAUGACCCCGUAACUUCGGGAGAAGGGGUGCUCUGUUAGGGUGCAAGCCCGAGAGAGCCGCAGUGAAUAGGCCCAGGCGACUGUUUAGCAAAAACACAGGUCUCUGCGAAGCCGUAAGGCGAAGUAUAGGGGCUGACGCCUGCCCGGUGCUGGAAGGUUAAGAGGAGCGCUUAGCGUAAGCGAAGGUGCGAAUUGAAGCCCCAGUAAACGGCGGCCGUAACAAUAACGGUCCUAAGGUAGCGAAAUUCCUUGUCGGGUAAGUUCCGACCCGCACGAAAGGCGCAACGAUCUGGGCACUGUCUCAACGAGAGACACGGUGAAAUUAUAGUACCUGUGAAGAUGCAGGUUACCCGCGACAGGACGGAAAGACCCCGUGGAGCUUUACUGCAGCCUGAUAUUGAAUGUUGGUACAGCUUGUACAGGAUAGGUAGGAGCCUUGGAAACCGGAGCGCCAGCUUCGGUGGAGGCAUCGGUGGGAUACUACCCUGGCUGUGUUGACCUUCUAACCCGCCGCCCUUAUCGGGCGGGGAGACAGUGUCAGGUGGGCAGUUUGACUGGGGCGGUCGCCUCCUAAAAGGUAACGGAGGCGCCCAAAGGUUCCCUCAGAAUGGUUGGAAAUCAUUCGCAGAGUGUAAAGGCACAAGGGAGCUUGACUGCGAGACCUACAAGUCGAGCAGGGACGAAAGUCGGGCUUAGUGAUCCGGUGGUUCCGCAUGGAAGGGCCAUCGCUCAACGGAUAAAAGCUACCCCGGGGAUAACAGGCUUAUCUCCCCCAAGAGUCCACAUCGACGGGGAGGUUUGGCACCUCGAUGUCGGCUCAUCGCAUCCUGGGGCUGUAGUCGGUCCCAAGGGUUGGGCUGUUCGCCCAUUAAAGCGGUACGCGAGCUGUGUUCAGAACGUCGUGAGACAGUUCGGUCCCUAUCCGUCGCGGGCGCAGGAAAUUUGAGAGGAGCUGUCCUUAGUACGAGAGGACCGGGAUGGACGCACCGCUGGUGUACCAGUUGUUCUGCCAAGGGCAUCGCUGGGUAGCUAUGUGCGGACGGGAUAAGUGCUGAAAGCAUCUAAGCAUGAAGCCCCCCUCAAGAUGAGAUUUCCCAUUCCGCAAGGAAGUAAGAUCCCUGAAAGAUGAUCAGGUUGAUAGGUCUGAGGUGGAAGUGUGGCGACACAUGGAGCUGACAGAUACUAAUCGAUCGAGGAC